UACGUGGACGACACCCAGUUCGUGAGGUUCGACAGCGACGCCGCGAGUCCGAGGACGGAGCCCCGGGCGCCAUGGAUAGAGCAGGAGGGGCCGGAGUAUUGGGACCGGGAGACACAGAAGUACAAGCGCCAGGCACAGACUGACCGAGUGAGCCUGCGGAACCUGCGCGGCUACUACAACCAGAGCGAGGCCGGGUCUCACACCCUCCAGAAUAUGCACUGCUGUGGCGUGGGGCCGGA
This 239-nucleotide unclassified non-coding RNA is filed under the name Hevea brasiliensis (rubber tree). The record is from RNAcentral. Lineage: Eukaryota; Viridiplantae; Streptophyta; Magnoliopsida; Malpighiales; Euphorbiaceae.